GUUGUGGCUCAGUGGUAGAGUGCUUGCCUAGCACAAGUGAGGUCCUGCCUAGGUUCGAUCUUCAGCACCACA
RNAcentral lists this transfer RNA (72 nucleotides) under Marmota monax (woodchuck). RNAcentral describes it as "tRNA.Ala". Lineage: Eukaryota; Metazoa; Chordata; Mammalia; Rodentia; Sciuridae. The record is from RNAcentral.